GAAAUACUCCUUUCGUUCGAAAAAGUUUGUCCCAAGCUUGUCUCUUAAAUGGAUGUAUCUAGCAUCAGAUUAGUGCUAGAUACAUCCAUUUGAGGGACAAACUUUUUCGGACGAAGGAAGUAUUAU
Molecule: non-coding RNA, 126 nt
Organism: Triticum urartu
Lineage: Eukaryota; Viridiplantae; Streptophyta; Magnoliopsida; Poales; Poaceae
Source: Rfam